Molecule: non-coding RNA, 72 nt
Organism: Sarcophilus harrisii (Tasmanian devil)
Lineage: Eukaryota; Metazoa; Chordata; Mammalia; Dasyuromorphia; Dasyuridae
Source: Rfam
CCCCUGGUGGUCUAGUGGCUAGGAUUCGGCGCUUUCACCGCCGAGGCCCGGGUUCGAUUCCCGGUCAGGGAA